GACGAACGCUGGCGGCGUGCUUAACACAUGCAAGUCGAACGCGCCUGUCCUCUGGGUUUCUGGGGGGUGGGUGAGUGGCGAACGGGUGAGAAACACGCGAGUAACCUGCCCCCUUCUUCGGGAUAACGGUCUGAAAGGGCUCCUAAUACCGGGUAUUCACUGGCCUCCGCAUGGGGUCUGGUGGCAAGGUUUUUUCCUGGUGGGGGAUGGGUGUGCGGCCUAUCAGCUUGUUGGUGGGGUGAUGGCCCACCAAGGCUUUGACGGGUAGCCAGCCUGAGAGGGUGACCGGUCACAUUGGGACGGAGAUACGGCCCAGACUCCGACGGGGGGCAGCAGUGGGGAAUAUUGGAGCAUGGGCGCAAGACUGAUGCAGCGACGCCGCGGGAGGGAUGGAGGCCUUAGGGUUGUGAACCUCUUUCGCCCGUGGUCAAGCCGCGACGUGGGUCGUGGUGAGGGUAGUGGGUAAAGAAGCGCCGGCUAACUACGUG
Molecule: ribosomal RNA, 488 nt
Filed under: uncultured bacterium
Lineage: Bacteria
Description: partial 16S ribosomal RNA
Rfam family: Bacterial small subunit ribosomal RNA
Source: RNAcentral